RNAcentral lists this ribosomal RNA (252 nucleotides) under uncultured prokaryote. Its description in RNAcentral is "partial 16S ribosomal RNA". It matches the Rfam family "Bacterial small subunit ribosomal RNA", at positions 524 to 775 of the family's 1533-position model. The record is from RNAcentral.
UACGGGGGGGGCAAGCGUUGUUCGGAAUUACUGGGCGUAAAGGGUUCGUAGGUGGCUGGCUAAGUCAGACGUGAAAUCCCUCAGCUUAACUGGGGAACUGCGUCUGAGACUGGUCGGCUCGAGUGCAGGAGAGGAAUGCGGAAUUCCAGGUGUAGCGGUGAAAUGCGUAGAUAUCUGGAGGAACACCGGUGGCGAAGGCGGCAUUCUGGACUGCAACUGACACUGAGGAACGAAAGCCAGGGGAGCAAACGG